This 777-nucleotide ribosomal RNA is filed under the name uncultured Neocallimastigales. RNAcentral describes it as "partial large subunit ribosomal RNA". It matches the Rfam family "Eukaryotic large subunit ribosomal RNA", at positions 22 to 646 of the family's 3401-position model. The record is from RNAcentral. Lineage: Eukaryota; Fungi; Neocallimastigomycota; Neocallimastigomycetes; Neocallimastigales.
GUACACGCUGUGACUAGCAUAUCAAUAAGCGGAGGAAAAGAAACUAACAAGGAUUCCCUCAGUAACGGCGAGUGAAGCGGGAAGAGCUCAAAUUUGAAAUCUUGAAAGGUCACCUUUCACGAAUUGUAGUUUAAAGAAGUGUUUUCUGUUACGAUCGUAAUAUAAGUUCUUUGGAAUAGGACAUCAUAGAGGGUGAGAAUCCCGUAUUAUGACCAUUGGAUUUGUCAGCUUUGUGAUACACUUUCAAAGAGUCGGAUUGUUUGGGAAUGCAGUCCCAAAAUGGGAUGGUAAGUUUCAUCUAAGGCUAAAUAUUGGCGAGAGACCGAUAGCGAACAAGUACCGUGAGGGAAAGAUGAAAAGAACUUUGAAAAGAGAGUUAAAUAGUACGUGAAAUUGUCAAAAGGGAAGCGUUUAACACCAGUGUUGUUUUCUGAAAAUCAACCUCUGUUAGCUUUAUGCAUGUUUGUUUAGACCUAAUCAGCUAUCUUGCAUGUUCUAUUGUUUGCAGUGGUGCACUUUUCAGUUUACAGGUCAACAUCAGUUUUUUUUACCGUAAAAAAGUUAAAGAAAGGUAGCUCAUGGCUCCGGUCGUGAGUGUUAUAGUCUUUUUCCUAUGCGGUAGGAGAGACUGAGGUCUGCAGUGUAGGCUAUUUGGCUAGAUACUCAGGUGCUAUGUGAUACCAUUUCAUAAACAACUUGUUGAUUAUGUUUUGUCUAUUGCAUACUCGCUUGUACUAUCAUACCUACGCUUAGGAUGUUGAGUAGCGACAUACGCAC